This is a non-coding RNA of Nothobranchius furzeri (turquoise killifish), 3884 nucleotides long. The record is from RefSeq and is a predicted model, not a curated record. Lineage: Eukaryota; Metazoa; Chordata; Actinopteri; Cyprinodontiformes; Nothobranchiidae.
UCCCUGCUUGGCUAAGCGCUGCCCUGUCCUCCAGGUUUGCGGCUCCACAAACGAUUCUCAGGUGGAUUCAAUCCCUUCAAGCGAGGAGUGGCGGGCGAGGCUCACGCGGGUCAAUAGGCAGACCCUAUUAAUCAAUGCCAGAUACAUGAGAAUGGAAGGACAGAACAGAGCCCUGUUCUUCAUCCAGAUGGAGCAAUAAUUAUUCAUUCACACCUACGAGGACAACAAAGAUAUGAGCUGUUUGAUUAAAGCAGUGUAGCUGGCGCUAUUUAGUUUAGAACACCCAGAGUUUAAACGUUUCCAUGGCAACGCCAGAGAGUCUGGAUGGUUUAGAGCAGUGGUCCUCAAUAGGCGGCCCAUGGGCCAUGUGCGGCCCGCGGGCCGCCUCUUUGUGGCCCCCGAACCCCACACGCACACUGCGGUAUUUUCAAAAGGAUGGCGGAUCAGAAGCUGGCAGCGACUUCGGGAGCAAAGUUCAAGUUUAAAAGAAGAUCCAGACGUGGAUGGAGGGCUGGAGCAGACCCGUGGCUGGACGUUUCUGGUCAGAGGAACAUCAUACAGGACGGUCUGCAGAGAGAGCUUUGGGACGCUUCCUCUCACUGUCCACUCCAUCAUCCAUCUACAGGGCCUGCUGGGCUGGCUCAGACGACGCCUGUUACAUCUCUGUGAAUGACUUGCCUGUUAACAGCAGUGGUGGUCUGCUGGUACCUCCUCCAGGACAGAGCACCACUGACCUCCUCCACACACAUCUUCCUCACGCUCAUCCUGCAGACCCACAACUUCACCAGCACAGAGGCAGAUGUGCAGCACAGUGCAUGCUGACCUGUAAUAGAUUAAGCUUUUUUAAUAGAAAAAUGUAAAACAAACAUAACCUGCAGUACACUGGUUCUGUUCAGUUUAAAGAAAAGCAGCAGGGAAAACUACAGAGAAUUUACAUUUUUAAGACAGAUCUGAUCAUUAUUAGGCUUAAGUUGAAUAAAAAAAUGCACACUGAAAACAAUUCAAUGCUAUUUUAUUUAAAAGCCUGUUUUUAAAGCAUUUUACCCCCAUUUGAUGCAAAAUAAGUUCUAAGGUCCAAUAUACAUUAGAAAACAUCCUACUGCAUUCAACAUUUAUAAUGCAUUUGGUUUAUAUUAAUAAUACUCUGUAGAAAUGUGUAUGUUUAACAAGUUCAUUCUGUAGCUUAAAACAUACAUGAAACCAUCUAAAGUUAACAAGUAAGUCCUGAAAGCUUCUAGAAUAAACAAAAUUACUUUAGCUGAAAACGGUUGUGAACAAACGCUGCUGAUGGACGUGAAGCUGCUGUAGCUCCUUAAUAUUCCUGCUCCAUUUUCGCUAUCUUUAGCAUUUUUCCUUUGCGCGUAGCUGCCGCCACGGCUGUGACGGGACCUACGGGCCACCGUAGAGGUGAGGGCUAGACUGUCCGAAUUCAGAGCCGCUGAGUUUUGGUUUUAGCGGUCUUCAAGGACCCGGCCUUGCUAGACCGGCAAGGACCCGUACUCGUAAGCAUCCUUCCCGUGGAUUCGGACACACCCUUAGACCCGCUCCCAUGUAUUUUAGAACAGCUUUCUAUGCUUAUAUAUUAUGAAACUGCCAAUAUUUUUCAUCAACUGGGCAUCUCUUAAUUAAACUACAACAUCAUUUUGAUGGAUAUUUCCGGAGGGUAAUGGUAAAAACUAUACAUUGUCACUUUAAUACUAAAUAUGCUGGAUUUAGCAAGAAGCUAGCUUUCAUCUGUAGUCCCCUCGACACACAUAUACAGUACAACAUGGAUUAAAUAUAAUAUGACACAAAACAAAAUUAAAGCAAGAUCAACUAAUUACACUAAAUCAAGACUAAAAAACAAAACAGCCAACUAAAAUUAUUCUCGCAGUUGAAAUGGACAAAAAAAAUAAAUUAAAAAAACUAACAUGAUCCAUCAUCUUAACCUUAAGGAAUUAAAAAUAGCUAUUAAACUCAAGAUAAUUAAUGACAGCACAUUGACCAGCCAUGCAUUUAGACUGGAAAGAGGUGCUGUCUUUUAUGGUGGUUGGUAGUUUAUUCCACUCACUGCAUCCCCUGAUCGACAGUGUGUUCUGUGAGAAUUUUGUUUUUUUAGAAUUAAUCACGCAGUCCCCUGUAAUCGUCAACCUAGUCUCUUUUAAGCCUGCUGAAAUCUCCAAACUGAACGUGCUAUUAAACAGUUUUGGCUGUGUGAAAACCUGCAUGAUGAAUUUUUUUUAUUAUCAUUAUUUUUACAACUGAAAGAGGAUAAAACUGAAAUCCUCUUUUGCUCACCUGAGAAGCUCAGCGCAGUUAGUGAGACACGAAGUCCAUUAGCCUCUUAUGUUAGGCCAACCAUUAGGAGUGUUGAAGUCAGUUAACUGCUUGUUUACCUUGGAUAACCAUGUUUUCUCACACUUGCUUUGCUCAUUUACGGAACAAUGCAAAACUGCAUAAUUUUGUCUCCAAACCAGAAUUGGAAGUUGUGGGCUUUUGUCUCCUCCAACCAUGACUAUUGUAACUCUUUGUUUUCCUGUCUGAAUUCUGCCUCUCUGGACCAUCUACAGGUUUUUUCAAAAUGCUUUUUACACAAACUCCCAAGUUCUCUAAUGCCAUGCAUCUAAAGGUGCCGUUUGUAAGAAUAUAUAUAGAAUUCUACAGUGAGGAAAUCCCAAAAGAGUCUAAUGUUUCAUUUUGGUAGGACUAUUAUCCUGAAACAUAUUUCAUAUCCAAAUGGCUGUGGUAAUUGUCAGUUUUUCUCCUUUCAAAACAAAGGAAAGAGGGACAUAACUACUGUUUAACAUCAGUGAGCGUGGGGUUGCCGUGUCUCCUGCGAGCUAAUACUGCAGCACCGACAAUUGUAAUUUAAACGUAACUCCACCCCUAGUCAAGAUUUGAAAAAUGCUAUGCAAGUGGGCAUUGUCAGGAGGCACUGAGUGGCAUGGCCAAGUGUGGGGAAUUUCCGUUUCGGGAGGGAGGGGGAGUGGGAGGAGACUGUACCGAUGGCCUGAAAUUGUUCCAGCCCCAGUCAAUCACAACUUUGAAAUGCAGUAGCCACAGUUCUGCCAUAGAGCUCCGGGAGUUGACUUCACUUCUCCUGGCAUGCAACAGUUCAAAUCGAAACGGCGCCAUAUUGGCAGGCAGAAGCCCGCAGCUGGGCUAUUUUUUAAUGUCAGAAAACUCAAUCAAAUGGGAAAUAUGGUAGAUUCCUGUUGGGCCCCAGGAUGCAGAACAGAUGCGGACGACAUACGGAAUGAGCCAUCUACAGGAUUCCCCAAGAUCCGGAACACCGCAAACGUUGGAUCAUUGUAAUAAAACGCUCUAGUGACCGUGCUAAAAUGAAACUGGGAUCCCGAGAGUAAAGGUUUUCGCUUAUGCAGCGACCGCUUCAUAUCAGGUACUUAAACCAACGUUUCCUCAACUGUGUGUGGUAUUUAUUUUAAAUGCUUUUAUUACGAUUCUUAGCGGGCUUCCUAAACUUAUUUUGGCGUGGCUUUUUCUGUCUUAUUACUCACAGCAACAAGUAAACGUCACGUAAAACGUUGCCUCGUGAGUUCUGCGUGCUGCCGUUUACGUGUUUUAUGAUGACAGCAAUUAACCGGCUAAGCUGUAUUUAAUUUUUAAGCAAUGGUUGAUCAAUUGUCAGAUCACACAUAAAAAGCACUUUGGAUUGCUAUUAUCUGUCUCACAGAGACGAAUCUCAGACAGAUCCUGAGACGCUCCUGCCUGACAUUUUUAUUUUAUUCACGGAAAAAAAUCAGACUAGUGAUUUCUCUUGGCGUUCAGUUUAUACAUUUAAACAGCACAGCACUCUAUUUAAACUACUUACGUGUAAAUCUGUUAUUUGUCCAUCCAUUUUCAUCCGCGUAUCCGGAGUCGGGUUGCGGGGGCAGUAGCGUCGA